GAACAAAUGAGUUUGGAGCAGAAAUUUGGGUGGAAAAUGCAGGAAAGACCAAAUGAAGAAUGAAAGGCUGCUCGUCCUCCAACCCCCCAUGCUGAAGUCCCCAGACACCUCCUGGAGAGCUGGUCUCCAGGCACAGCUGGAUGGAGACCCCAGGAAUGCUGGACUGAGAUGGGAAGCAAUGAAGUGCAAAAAUCCAGCUUUGCCCCAGGCUCUGUUGGAUGUGAUGAUGGAGCUGGAAGCCGAGGCAGACACCGGCGGAGCGCAGGCGGAGGGAAUCUGGCUGGAAAACAAAGCCCAGUUUUGUCAUUUCAUGCCUCUUAAAAGUCCCACUCCAUGCAGGAAAAAUGCGAGUUAAUUCACAUUAAACAGGACGAGUGGAGUGAAAAAUAAACAUGCAAAAAUAAAUAGCA
Molecule: long non-coding RNA, 410 nt
Filed under: Serinus canaria (Common canary)
Lineage: Eukaryota; Metazoa; Chordata; Aves; Passeriformes; Fringillidae
Description: lncRNA (ENSSCAG00000010594.1)
Source: RNAcentral